GUUCCUGUGGUCUAGCGGUUAUGACGUUUGCUUUACACGCAAAAGGUCCUCGGUUCGAUCCCGAGUAGGAGCA
Non-coding RNA from Syncephalis pseudoplumigaleata, 73 nucleotides. The record is from the annotation of a GenBank genome assembly. Lineage: Eukaryota; Fungi; Zoopagomycota; Zoopagomycetes; Zoopagales; Piptocephalidaceae.